Molecule: long non-coding RNA, 471 nt
Organism: Spinacia oleracea (spinach)
Lineage: Eukaryota; Viridiplantae; Streptophyta; Magnoliopsida; Caryophyllales; Amaranthaceae
Exons: 2
Source: RefSeq, a predicted model, not a curated record
UACGAACAGUAAAAGGCAAUGGUGGCUAAACAUAAUUUCAGCGAAAUGUUUCGAAUGAAUUGUUGAAGUCCUUGCAGUUGUUUUGAAAUUCAAAUUGGACGUCUGUCUUCUUCACAGCUUACACAUCUCCUGACCAUGGUAAUUGACCUCUACUGGUAAGGGGGAAACAAAAACAUAAGGUUUCCUUGAAUUUUCUUUCCUCUUUCUGAUUUCAGGUAAUUUUGAUAAUUUCAUAAUACAAGUAGUUCAUUCAAUUGAAUCCACGUGUUAUAGCCUAUAGGAGCAAGUAAUCAGCAAUAAUUAUUUUUAAUAAUACAAUUUCAAUUUCAGUAAUGUAUUCGAAAAAACAUACAAUCAAAAUGAUAAAAUACAUGAUUGUAUUCUGUUAUAUUUUUUCUAGGUGCAAAUAAAAUUUAAAAAUGUAGGGUUUUUGUUAUAUGUGUAUAAAGUCGUAAUUGUUGAAUAUACCAU